Molecule: ribosomal RNA, 716 nt
Filed under: uncultured bacterium
Lineage: Bacteria
Description: bacterial SSU rRNA
Rfam family: Bacterial small subunit ribosomal RNA
Source: RNAcentral
CUGAGUAAAGCGGCGCACGGGUGAGUAACACGUGGGUAAUCUGCCCUGGAGUGGGGAAUAACACCGGGAAACCGGUGCUAAUACCGCAUACGAUAAUGAGGUCUGCGGACUUUGUUAUGAAAGGAGCAAUUCGCUCCAGGAGGAGCCCGCGGCUGAUUAGCUAGUUGGCGAGGUAAUGGCUCACCAAGGCUUCGAUCAGUAUCCGGUCUGAGAGGACGGUCGGACACACUGGAACUGAGACACGGUCCAGACUCCUACGGGAGGCAGCAGUGGGGAAUUUUUGGCAAUGGGGGAAACCCUGACCAAGCAACGCCGCGUGGGUGAUGAAGUAUCUCGGUACGUAAAACCCUUUCGACGGGGAAGAAAACCGCAAGGUUUGACGGUACCCGUAGAAGAAGCCCCGGCUAACUCCGUGCCAGCAGCCGCGGUAAUACGGGGGGGGCGAGCGUUGUUCGGAAUUAUUGGGCGUAAAGGGCGCGUAGGCGGUGUGGUAAGUCUGUUGUGAAACCUCCAGGCUCAACUUGGAGCUUGCAUCAGAAACUGCCGUGCUAGAGUGUGGGAGAGGAGAGUGGAAUUCCUGGUGUAGCGGUGAAAUGCGUAGAUAUCAGGAGGAACACCGGUGGCGAAAGCGGCUCUCUGGACCACAACUGACGCUGAGGCGCGAAAGCUAGGGGAGCAAACAGGAUUAGAUACCCUGGUAGUCCUAGCCUUAAACG